GACGAACGCUGGCGGCGUGCCUAAUACAUGCAAGUAGAACGAGUAGCGAACGGGUGAGUAACGCGUGGUAACCUGCCUCAUCGCGGGGGAUAACUAUUGGAAACGAUAGCUAAUAACGCAUAUUGUGAGAUGGACCUGCGUUGUAUUAGCUAGUUGGUGAGGUAAAGGCUCACCAAGGCGACGAUACCUAGCCGACCGGAGAGGGUGAUCGGCCACACUGGUACUGAGACACGGCCCAGAUGCCUACGGGAGGCAGCAGUGGGGAAUAUUGCACAAUGGGCGCAAGCCUGAUGCAGCCAUGCCGAGUGUAUGAAGAAGGCCUUCGGGUUGUAAAGUACUUUCAGCGGGGAGGCGUUACCCGCAGAAGAAGCACCGGCUAACUCCGUGCCAGCAGCCGCGGUAAUUC
RNAcentral lists this ribosomal RNA (406 nucleotides) under uncultured bacterium. RNAcentral's name for it is "partial 16S ribosomal RNA". It matches the Rfam family "Bacterial small subunit ribosomal RNA", at positions 28 to 526 of the family's 1533-position model. The record is from RNAcentral.